GACGAACGCUGGCGGCGUGCCUAAUACAUGCAAGUUGAGCGCUGAAGGUUGGUACUUGUACCAACUGGAUGAGCAGCGCACGGGUGAGUAACGCGUGGGGAAUCUGCCUUUGAGCGGGGGACAACAUUUGGAAACGAAUGCUAAUACCGCAUAAAAUCUUUAAACACAAGUUUUAAGUUUGAAAGAUGCAAUUGCAUCACUCAAAGAUGAUCUCGCGUUGUAUUAGCUAGUUGGUGAGGUAAAGGCUCACUAAGGCGAUGAUACAUAGCCGACCUGAGAGGGUGGUCGGCCACAUUGGGACUGAGACACGGCCCAAACGCCUACGGGAGGCAGCAGUAGGGAAUCUUCGGCAAUGGACGAAAGUCUGACCGAGCAACGCCGCGGGAGUGAAGAAGGUUGUCGGGUCGUAAAACUCGGUUGGUAGGGAAGAACGUUGGUGAGAGUGGAAAGCUCAUCAAGUGACGGUAACUACCCAGAAAGGGACGGCUAACUACGUG
This 497-nucleotide ribosomal RNA is filed under the name uncultured bacterium. RNAcentral's name for it is "partial 16S ribosomal RNA". It matches the Rfam family "Bacterial small subunit ribosomal RNA", at positions 28 to 507 of the family's 1533-position model. The record is from RNAcentral.